This 967-nucleotide unclassified non-coding RNA is filed under the name Leishmania donovani. Its description in RNAcentral is "gene:LdHU3.29.2230(CDS-product:clathrin_coat_asse mbly_protein_ap19_putative)". Lineage: Eukaryota; Euglenozoa; Kinetoplastea; Trypanosomatida; Trypanosomatidae. The record is from RNAcentral.
UGUGAGGGAGAGAGCCGCAAAGCGCGCGUGCAUCGCAAUCAAUAACGGAGAAGGAAGCACAGCACGGCAAGGGCAAGCAACAUACACACGAAAGGAAUACCUUUGUCGCAUGCCUGCCCCGCGUGUGGGCGAGAUGAUUCAGUUCCUGCUGCUGAUGAGCCGCCAAGGCAAGAUAAGACUCUCCAAAUGGUACGUGACGCUCUCGCAGAAGGAGCAGACAAAAAUCAUCCGCGAAGUGUGCCAGGCGGCGCUUGGCCGCUCUGCUCGGCUGUCGAACAUGUUCGAGAUUGAGGGCCGAAAGUACGUUUGCCGCCGCUACGCCUCUCUGUACUUCAUCGCCUGCGUCGACAAGACAGACAAUGAGCUGAUUACGCUGGAGAUCAUCCACCACUUUGUCGAGGUGCUGGAUCAGUACUUCGGCAAUGUAUGCGAGCUCGACUUGAUCUUCAACUUUCACCGUGCGUACUUCAUCCUUGACGAGGUGCUGCUUGGUGGGGAGCUGUUGCUGAGCAACAAGCGUGCCACGCUUGCCUACAUCGACCGGCUUGAUGUUGCUGCAGAGCGUAGCGAGGCACAGCUCGAGGGCAGCUCUUUUGUGGAUCAGAUGACCAACGCCAUCAAAGGGGUCUGAUGGGUGUUCGUUGCUGCCUGCCGAACACCAUGUUUGCGGACUUAUUGGGGGAUGGGGGGCGAACAGACUGUUGCUUGUAGAUUAUUUCUAAGUUGUCACUCUGCCGUGAACAAGUACACAAACACGAGCACACGACCACAGCUCACACGCCCCCUUGUUGAACUGCCGCCACACCCGCGUCGGCCAGGACGAGUGGUUCUGCCGUCGAAAUCGGGCCAUGCGUCCCAUCGGCUUCUCUUGCCCUCCCCCGGCCGCCUGCUCCCCCAACCUUCCGCUCCUCUCUCCCGCCACCCGCUUUCGUCGGUCGCCGAGCCGCUGCCCUGGGGCCGUGCCAGG